RNAcentral lists this long non-coding RNA (250 nucleotides) under Salvia miltiorrhiza (redroot sage). RNAcentral describes it as "long non-coding RNA (SMIL_LNC014258)". Lineage: Eukaryota; Viridiplantae; Streptophyta; Magnoliopsida; Lamiales; Lamiaceae. The record is from RNAcentral.
CCCCAUAUAAUCGUGGUUUUAUAUUGUGUGAAAAUAUAGUAUGUAGAAAAAUAAGCAGCCUACCUUUAAAGUUGAAAUCUUUGAACAUUAAAUAACAUUUACCAUCAAGAUACAAAUCUAUUCUAAGUUUCCUUGGUUGCUCAGCCUUUAUUCUUGAGUUGAAGCAACAAGAUUUUCUGAUGGUGAAGACAUUCGGUAUUAUAAGAAUGAGUAGUGAAAAUGAAGGAGGAAAUUAGUGUAGAAAUGACGA